GAUGAAAAACGUAGUGAAAUGCGAUAAGUAAUGUGAAUUGCAGAAUUCAGUGAAUCAUCGAAUCUUUGAACGCACAUUGCGCCCCCUGGUAUUCCGGGGGGCAUGCCUGUUCGAGCGUCAUUUCACCACUCAAGCCUCGCUUGGUAUUGGGCAACGCGGUCCGCCGCGUGCCUCAAAUCGACCGGCUGGGUCUUCUGUCCCCUAAGCGUUGUGGAAACUUUCGCUAAAGGGUGUUCGGGAGGCUACGCCGUAAAACAACCCCAUUUCUAAGGUUGACCUCGGAUCAGGUAGGGAUACCCGCUGAACUUAAGCAUAUCAAUAAGCGGAGGA
This 330-nucleotide unclassified non-coding RNA is filed under the name soil metagenome. RNAcentral's name for it is "partial contains 5.8S ribosomal RNA, internal transcribed spacer 2, and large subunit ribosomal RNA". The stretch from base 1 to 120 matches the Rfam family "5.8S ribosomal RNA", at positions 35 to 154 of the family's 154-position model. The record is from RNAcentral.